This 71-nucleotide transfer RNA is filed under the name Exostoma tenuicaudatum. RNAcentral's name for it is "tRNA-Tyr". It matches the Rfam family "tRNA". Rfam says of the family: Transfer RNA (tRNA) molecules are approximately 80 nucleotides in length. Their secondary structure includes four short double-helical elements and three loops (D, anti-codon, and T loops). RNAcentral also lists the same sequence under 1 other name. The record is from RNAcentral. Lineage: Eukaryota; Metazoa; Chordata; Actinopteri; Siluriformes; Sisoridae.
GGUAGGAUGGCCGAGGGUUCAGGCGGUGGGUUGUAGCCCCAUAAACAAAGGUUUAAGUCCUUUUUCUACCA